AGCAGCCGCCGCGGGAAUACGUAGGUCCCGAGCGUUGUCCGGAUUUAUUGGGCGUAAAGGGGGCGCAGGUGGUUUAGUAAGUCUGAAGUUAAAGGCAUUGGCUCAACCAAUGUAUGCUUUGGAAACUGUUAGACUUGAGUGCAGAAGGGGAGAGUGGAAUUCCAUGUGUAGCGGUGAAAUGCGUAGAGAUGUGGAGGAACACCAGUGGCGAAGGCGACUCUCUGGUCUGUAACUGACGCUGAGGAGCGAAAGCGUGGGGAGCGAACAGGAUUAGAUACCCCAGUAGUCCCUGUCUCUUAUACC
RNAcentral lists this ribosomal RNA (303 nucleotides) under uncultured bacterium. Its description in RNAcentral is "partial 16S ribosomal RNA". It matches the Rfam family "Bacterial small subunit ribosomal RNA", at positions 507 to 808 of the family's 1533-position model. The record is from RNAcentral.